ACAAGCAACACUCUGUAAGUUUAUUACCAAAUAUAACCUAAGCACAAACACAACUAAGCUAAUGAGAUUGGCAAAGUAGCAGCACAAAAUGUAAGGAAAAACACAUUUAAUAAAUACAACUUGGAAACGUCUUUUUCUUUAAAUUAGGUUCAGAUACUGGGAGACAAACACUGAAGCAAAAGUCUUAACAACGCACUUACAAGCCAUCAUAACGUGCAGUGAUCCUGCUGGACACUGUCCACUCACAACCAUGCUAACGGGGGCCACUCCCUGCUGCCGUACCAUCAUAUGAAUAUACAUUUGUCAGUGAAAAUGUCACAAAAAUGUGACAUUUGUCCAGGUUUGUGUGUUUUCAUAAAGUUACUCAGGUUUUCAGAGAAUGAACAUAGGAACAUGUAGGAUCCACAAUUUUUAAGGUCAUCACAUUAGUUUGUAUUUAUGAAACUAUAAGAAAACAGAUGUGUGUCAUGUUUGACACUGCUGCUUUGAAUGCAAUACUUCCAAAUAAUGAAGCUGACCACAACAAAGAAGGGAAAAGUAAUUCAGACGUUUCAGAGAGGCCUUAUUUGGAAUAUAAACGCUUUGCUAGGGAAAGAAAGACGAAAUAUUUUAAACAAUUUCAAGAUUAAAAAGGAAAGUUAAUGGGAGGAGGGCAACAGCAGGAGGGAAGGAUGUGCUUAAAAGAAACAAAUCUGCAUAGACGAUGAACUGAAUUUAAUUCAAUUCAUUCCUGCCUAAAACUAAGUCUGGUUAACUGAGGUAGACUCUGGGAAUUACACGUGCAAAGAUCAGGUUUUCCAAAGGGCAAUAUUUUGUCAUUUCAGAUAUGGUAAAGUAAAAGUGCAUUUUAUAGUUUCAAAUAAUCAAAUGGGAGUCCUUUUAUAGGAGGGAAACUUCUCUAUACUAAUUCCCUAUUUUUUUGUGCCAAAUUUCCAAAUAUACAAAAACCUACACACUGCUGGUAAUAAGGCAAUAUCCAGGGUUUUUUCAUUUAUUUUCUCAGGAAACGAGAAAAGUAAAAUAAAUUUUAUGACAUUACCUAAACAUCUUUCCUGUUUUUAUUAAUAAGUCACUGGGAAUUCAGAAAUAACAUUAAAGCUAAAGAGUUGUCUGCAGCCAAAAAACCCAAUAAAAAUUCAAAGAUCUAUUUGUUAAUGAGGUGAAUGUUUAAAAAUAUACCUACUAUCCUAAGAAUUUGAUUAUUAAAAUACACAAUUUCCACAUUAAGAAACAAAUAUUAAAAGCAAAUGUCAAAAAAAUUAAAUAAGUACGAAAAGCCAAAUUUAAAAGUAUAAAUAACUAAACUUACAAUAAUCACAACAGAGUUUUUAGCUUUCUGUAAAAAUAGUUAGUGGAGAUGAGACUAAAACAUUUGAAGCUUAAAUAUUUUUAUCCCCCAACAUGUCCCCCAACUAUAAUUUCUUUUUUCUAUUGUGACAUAUUCUUAGGUUCACAUAAAUAUUAUGUGCAUCACAAAUUAAGCGGUUUCUUAAAAAUAUACAAUCAAAACCGUUUAAGAAAAAAAAGGUACAUAAAAGAGAAUAGUUAGGACUUUUCCCUCACACGAGUUAAGGUGGCCUUUUCUUGGAAAAGGCCAGCAUUCACCCUUAACAUUUUAUGCCUGUCAUACAGAAUAUACCCUAAAGUGAUUUAUCACUAAUAAGAUAAAACUUAUCUUAAGAGUGGGAAUCCACUAUUAGGCAGAGAAAGACUCAAUAACCUAGGCAAUAUUGAGGCAACCAAAGUCCACUCACACAACAUGAAAUACUUGCCUAGGUCCUUCAUUUUAUCUCAUGUUAGGGUGGGGAGAAAGUGAAUCAUAGCUACCUCAGCUGGUUACUGUUUCAUGAUUCUCAUCACAGAUUUAGCAGUGUAUAUAAAAACUUAUUCCUAAGGAAGGAAUUUAAAUGAACUCAGGCUAUCCAAAACUUAAGAGUACUAACAAUUUUAUGUUCAACAGAGUCAGGCUACAUAAAGCAAAGUCAAAUAAUGACAAUCAUACUGUAAAUUUGGGUUGUACACACACAUUUUCCCCUGGUGUAUGUAUAUGACCAUAGAUUCACCAGGUAUUGGUUUGCUUAGUUUUUGAGCAAUUCGUGCUCUAAGCCUACGUUUUGAGAGUGAAAUAUGACUUCCCAAAAACUGUGAUCUCAGAAGCUGAAAUUAAGCCCCAAGCUAUAGAGCUAGACCACCACGUUUUCCCCUUCCAAAAUGGCUCGGUAUUGUGGGAGGCAGUGGUCAGAUCCGAAAGUGUGUAGAUACAGUCUGUGAUGCCACCAUCUAUUGUCUACUUGGAUCACUAGAAGGUUGCAGCUUCCAUUAAAGAGGGGUUUGAUAUAUUUCACUAAUAUUAAUUUCCUUUAAAAAAAGAAAUUAUGGGGCAAAAGGUUUAAACAUGUUAUGCUUAUAAUAGGCAGCUUGGGAAAUGGUAAAAAUUGUUCAUUAAAAUAGAUCUAUAAUAGUUACACACUAUUCAAACAAAUGGAUAUCAGUUCUAAUUUCAAAACAGAUUUAAAGUGCUAAAAGGAGGGGGAAACACUUUUAUAUAUUAUUUUUCCAAAGUGCAAACAGAUUACUAUGCCUCUCCAUCAGUGAUCUUGUUUCAGUAGCAGAAGCCAGAAGCUAUAUAGAGCCGUUAGAGAAACUGCCAAGUUGGAACUGUACUCUCUAGUCCAGCUUUGUCUUGGUCCACAGAGCUCCCACCCACUGUGUCUUGGACCAACCAAUACACAUCUACAGAAUGUAGGGACUAUCUGAUCAGAUAUCUGCAAAGUAGACUUAGCUUAGUCCUACAGUCAUUGUGCUGCAGAACUCAAAAUACUCAUGUUUUCAGAGGAAUUAAAGGAGCCAAAUAUUUUUCCUUUGAUAAUGCAUCUGCUACCGCAACACAGAAUAACAAAACAAAACGAAGCAAAACAAUUCAAUCUCAUUCUGGGUAAGGCAACACACUGUCUUCUGCAAUAAAGACAGUCUGUGUG
This is a long non-coding RNA of Macaca fascicularis (crab-eating macaque), 2978 nucleotides long. The record is from Ensembl. Lineage: Eukaryota; Metazoa; Chordata; Mammalia; Primates; Cercopithecidae.